CUCCAUUAGUCUCUCUCCUUUGUGCGCUCUCUUCCCAGUGCCAAUCACGUCACUAAUUGGGGGGUGGAGUGGGCAUCUGGUAGGCCACCUAAAUGCCGUAGAGGUAGGCGUGUAUAUAUAUAGACACCUGGGGUCCUUAUGCCGGUAUGUUAUCACUCUGCUGCUGGCACUGGCGUGAGGAAGCAAUGAUGUGGGUGCUGUCUCGAACUACGAAGUGUGUAUGGGGAAGCAGACGCUGAUUUGAACCGCGGUGUACCAGUGUUUUGCGUGAUCAUUUCCAUGGACAAGCACCCGCUGGGUAUUGUGGCUGUCGUGGGGUACCUGCUAUAAACGUAGCGUUCCUUGCAUCCGGUAACGUGAGCGGCAGACUGUUUAACUGCAACCAGCAUUUGGAGUGUUGCUGUUGCUGUUCUCUACACGUAUGAUUGUGGUGGUGAUUAUUGUUUAACUAGAUUUUGGUUUGUUUUUCCUCUAGCCUGUUGAUUGUAACGAGUAUUGUAGUGAGAGUGCAGUUAUUGUACAUCACAGGCUAGAGUGGUUUCUUUAUUCCUUUGUUUUGUCCCCCCUCCCUCUCGUGUAGC
This is a long non-coding RNA of Clupea harengus (Atlantic herring), 581 nucleotides long. RefSeq lists it as uncharacterized. The record is from RefSeq and is a predicted model, not a curated record. The transcript has 4 exons. NCBI's taxonomy places the organism in Eukaryota, Metazoa, Chordata, Actinopteri, Clupeiformes, Clupeidae.